Molecule: long non-coding RNA, 2775 nt
Organism: Microcebus murinus (gray mouse lemur)
Lineage: Eukaryota; Metazoa; Chordata; Mammalia; Primates; Cheirogaleidae
Source: RefSeq, a predicted model, not a curated record
GAUGAGCAGCCCCUCACCCACCCUGUCCCGCCCUCGCCUCCCUGGGGACAGGGAGCCGUGGCCACCGCCGGCCGCACGGAGCCAUCGACCCUCAGGCCUCCGUAGCCUCCCGAGACAGGAGGGCGCGGUCCCGGCCUGCGUGGCCAGCCAGGAGCACGAGGACUGCGCAGGGCGGGCCCUGGGGCUGGGGUGGGGCGAGGGAGAAUGAACACGGGGCCGGGGAACACGGACGCCGGACGGACGCAGCGUGGCCCAGAACCGCGGGGCCCUGGGCGCAAGGUGCUGCCAGCCCAGAAGCCCCUCGGGCCGAGCCACAGACCAGCUGCGAGGCGGAAGCCGGCCUGGCCAGAGCCCUGGAGCCGAGCCCCCGGGUGGCGAGGACAGGUGCGCCGGGUUCCACCACGGAGGAAAGGAGCCCGCAGCCCAGGUGUCCCACAGGGAGGAAACAGCGCCUUGCUGGAGGCAGUCUUAUGUGUGGUUUCCGUGUCUGCCGGGCGACCCAGGCCACGGCCAGGCAGGACGGAGCCGCGCUCACUGCUGGGAGACGGGUCGUCUGUGUCCUCGCACCCUUGGAGAGGUCUAAGGUGGCGACAGGAGCUCCUGUGAGGCACCCGGAAGUCGGUGCUCCGGGCAGGGAGCUGUGCGGCCAGGUGUGAACGUAACAGGCGGCGCUGCACGAGAGAAAGAGGACUCCAGCCGGAGGGAGGGACGGGCAUGUUGUCUGGAAGCAUUACCUUCAUUUUAUGUUAGUGUCGGAAGAAAUGUUCAGCUCCGGUGCAAACGACAGAGUGGCAGCAGACCGGGCACAGUUUCCCGGGCCGGAAUCAGGGGGAAGCUUAUAGGAUCAGACAGGUCCGCUGUUUCUUCGGUGGGUGCAGGAGGAUUUCUGCCGGGAAGUGCGCUGCCAACAGCGCUCGUCCAAGAGGGACUCAUCCCUUUCCGUUGUCAUUUAAGCCACAGUCACUGAUUCGCUCGGACAAGAUACUGGGCCGGUCCAACGUCCCUGGCUGAGCCUGACCUCGGGGUUUGCAUCUCCAGCCUGAAAUCUCGUUUAAUCGUUCAUGCAUCAUUCUGCCUUAUUUUAGUGACAUCCUCCUGGCACACCCAUUGCACUCAGACUGAAAGGCAAACAAUAGCUUUGUGUUCACGACAGCCGCCGGCGGCGCUGUGGAUGGACCGCGGGUGACAUCUGACGGGCUCCGCCAGGCAGGCGUCCGGGAAUGUGCUGUGGCUCCACCUGGCUCCCCACAGCCCAGCUCCUCUGGGGGAGCCCCGGCUCGGCCCCCCGAACCCCGCCGUGCACCUCCCAGGAACAGCAGCCGCACAGGCCGGCCACUUAGGAUGCAAAGAUGUGCACUGCAGCGCGCCCAAAUUUACGCCCACCGUGUUUAUUUGGACCAUCAUGAUUCUGCAUGUUGUAUAUACAUAUGGAGACCACACGCCCUCUGUACCCACCACGGACACUCCUAACCACAGCUCCUUAACAAUUAAAAAAAAAGGCAAACUGUACAGGAAAGAAGCAUGUAAAUAUGUAUCGAUGCUUAUGAAGUUGUUGCUGUUUAUAUGUAAAAAGUAUGUACAUAGGAAAGGGAAAAUGGCUCAACGAAUGUUUUAAAUAAUGUCCCAGUUACCAAAUUGCACCUGCGCCCCAGCCGUAUUCCUGAAAGCACAUAUUCAGGUGAAAUGUCAGUCCCUCUCUCUAAAGAGCAUUGUUUUCAUUCAUAUGCCAUGUGUACCUUGUUUUCAUCGGACUGCAUGCAUCAUUCCAGAGCUGGGCUUUUGCCAAAAAAAAAAAAAAGCAAACGUGAGCAUAUAUCACUGAUUCUUCCUGGUCCAGGGAGCAUCUGAAGAAUUCAAGUGUUUUAAAAUAAGGUGCAUUUUCUAAACUUUAGGCUAUACCUUUUAUUCUACACCAGUGGGCUAGGCUGAAUUUCUUCCAAGCAUCUGGGUCUCUCGCUGCCAGCCCUUUGCAGGGGGGAGGCUGUGUGCACACACCUCACCCCCAGCGAAGCAAGAGGAGGGACCCUGGGACAUUGCCAGGAGUGUUUACUGUGUAACCAAGACAGGAACGUUCAUAUACACGAGCAGUUAUCGAUUCGUCGUUACCAUGUGCACACGCAGAGCACCACGCACGUUCUAGUAUGUCUAAACUACAAAUCCAUGUGAGUUGCAGGUUCCUUUGUUUACCUUACUGCUGAAGGACUGUGGCUGUUCCUCGAAGUCUCUGCCCUGGCAGAAUCUGUAGCCUUCAGGAUACCCGAGUGCCUUACGCGGCUGGGGACAGCAACACAGGGAGGGGGCGUGCCCGCGAGCGGGCUGGGGCGCAUCGACCCGUUGAUCAGCAUUUCCAUCACUCCAUCACUGAAACCUUAAAAACGGAUUGUGUGUUUUAACACAGUAAUGGAUUUAAGUUUAGGCUCAGGAAAAUCAUAUUGUGAAUAUGUGUAUGGAAUCAUAGAUUUGUUUACUGUAUGUUUUUUAAAAAGCUUUACUGUAAAUUCAUGCAAAGACUAAUAGGACCUUGUUUUCUCACGGCAGAAUGGCAGGCAGUAUUUGUGUUCUCUGAAGCAAUUCCUUAAUAACCACAUUCUUCUAAACUCGUGAUACCCUGUUCAGUGCUAAACAGUAUUCAAAGGCCUAAAAGAGGUUUGUAUGGUGUUCAACUACCAAUUUUUACAAGUAUUUUUGUAUUGUGAUUCCUAUCGUAUAUACCAGAGAAUUUUUACUCAUUUGUAAAUUAUUGUACAGUUUUAAUAAAAAUCGUUUUAAAUCUGA